RNAcentral lists this ribosomal RNA (200 nucleotides) under uncultured organism. RNAcentral describes it as "partial small subunit ribosomal RNA". It matches the Rfam family "Bacterial small subunit ribosomal RNA", at positions 1182 to 1382 of the family's 1533-position model. The record is from RNAcentral.
ACGUCAAAUCAUCAUGCCCCUUAUGUCUAGGGCUACACACGUGCUACAAUGGCAAGUACAACGAGAUGCAAUACCGCGAGGUGGAGCUAACCUAUAAAACUUGUCUCAGUUCGGAUUGUAGGCUGAAACUCGCCUACAUGAAGCUGGAGUUGCUAGUAAUCGCGAAUCAGAAUGUCGCGGUGAAUACGUUCCCGGGCCUU